UACGUAGGGGGCAAGCGUCGUCCGGAAUCAUUGGGCGUAAAGAGCGUGUAGGCGGCCAGAAAAGUCCGCUGUGAAAACUCGAGGCUCAACCUCGGGCUUGCAGUGGGUACGGGCAGACUAGAGUGCGGUAGGGGUGACUGGAAUUCCUGGUGUAGCGGUGGAAUGCGCAGAUAUCAGGAGGAACACCGAUGGCGAAGGCAGGUCACUGGGCCGCAACUGACGCUGAGGAGCGAAAGCAUGGGGAGCGAACAGG
This 253-nucleotide ribosomal RNA is filed under the name uncultured bacterium. RNAcentral's name for it is "partial 16S ribosomal RNA". It matches the Rfam family "Bacterial small subunit ribosomal RNA", at positions 524 to 776 of the family's 1533-position model. The record is from RNAcentral.